Molecule: ribosomal RNA, 653 nt
Filed under: uncultured bacterium
Lineage: Bacteria
Description: bacterial SSU rRNA
Rfam family: Bacterial small subunit ribosomal RNA
Source: RNAcentral
GUUUGAUCAUGGCUCAGGAUGAACGCUAGCUACAGGCUUAACACAUGCAAGUCGAGGGGCAGCAUUCUUCUAGCAAUAGAAGAGAUGGCGACCGGCGCACGGGUGAGUAACACGUAUCCAACCUGCCGAUAACUCCGGGAUAGCCUUUCGAAAGAAAGAUUAAUACCGGAUAGUAUACGAAUAUCGCAUGAUAUUUUUAUUAAAGAAUUUCGGUUAUCGAUGGGGAUGCGUUCCAUUAGUUUGUUGGCGGGGUAACGGCCCACCAAGACUACGAUGGAUAGGGGUUCUGAGAGGAAGGUCCCCCACAUUGGAACUGAGACACGGUCCAAACUCCUACGGGAGGCAGCAGUGAGGAAUAUUGGUCAAUGGGCGCAGGCCUGAACCAGCCAAGUAGCGUGAAGGAUGAAGGCUCUAUGGGUCGUAAACUUCUUUUAUAUGGGAAUAAAGUUUUCCACGUGUGGAAUUUUGUAUGUACCAUAUGAAUAAGGAUCGGCUAACUCCGUGCCAGCAGCCGCGGUAAUACGGAGGAUCCGAGCGUUAUCCGGAUUUAUUGGGUUUAAAGGGAGCGUAGGUGGAUUGUUAAGUCAGUUGUGAAAGUUUGCGGCUCAACCGCUAAAAUUGCAGUUGAAACUGGGAGUCUUGAGUACAGUAGA